RNAcentral lists this ribosomal RNA (253 nucleotides) under uncultured bacterium. Its description in RNAcentral is "partial 16S ribosomal RNA". It matches the Rfam family "Bacterial small subunit ribosomal RNA", at positions 524 to 776 of the family's 1533-position model. The record is from RNAcentral.
UACGGAGGGUGCAAGCAUUAAUCGGAUUUAUUGGGCGUAAAGGGCGCGUAGGCUGGAGUAUAAGUCAGAUGUGAAAUCCCGGGGCUCAACCCCGGAACAGCAUUUGAAACUAUACACCUAGAGGGUAGGCGGAGAAAACGGAAUUCCACGUGUAGCGGUGAAAUGCGUAGAUAUGUGGAAGAACACCGGUGGCGAAGGCGGUUUUCUAGCUUAUUCCUGACGCUGAAGCGCGAAAGCAAGGGGAGCAAACAGG